RNAcentral lists this non-coding RNA (83 nucleotides) under Oscillibacter valericigenes. Its description in RNAcentral is "Glycine sequence". It matches the Rfam family "Glycine riboswitch aptamer". Rfam says of the family: This family represents the bacterial glycine riboswitch. The record is from RNAcentral. Lineage: Bacteria; Bacillati; Bacillota; Clostridia; Eubacteriales; Oscillospiraceae.
AUGAUUGGCUCGAGAGAGGUUGUAUUUAUACAGCACCGAAGGGGUAUGCAAGAACUCUCAGGUAAAAGGAUCGGGUUAUGACG